This 253-nucleotide ribosomal RNA is filed under the name uncultured bacterium. RNAcentral describes it as "partial 16S ribosomal RNA". It matches the Rfam family "Bacterial small subunit ribosomal RNA", at positions 524 to 776 of the family's 1533-position model. The record is from RNAcentral.
UACGUAGGGGGCUAGCGUUGUCCGGAAUCAUUGGGCGUAAAGCGCGUGUAGGCGGUCCGGUAAGUCAGCUGUGAAAGUCGGGGGCUCAACCCUCGGAUGCCGGUGGAUACUGUCGGGCUUGAGUACGGAAGAGGCGAGUGGAAUUCCUGGUGUAGCGGUGAAAUGCGCAGAUAUCAGGAGGAACACCAAUUGCGAAGGCAGCUCGCUGGGACGUUCCUGACGCUGAGGCGCGAAAGCGUGGGGAGCAAACAGG